Canis lupus familiaris (dog) is the source of this 2081-nucleotide long non-coding RNA. RefSeq lists it as uncharacterized. The transcript has 3 exons. NCBI's taxonomy places the organism in Eukaryota, Metazoa, Chordata, Mammalia, Carnivora, Canidae. The record is from RefSeq and is a predicted model, not a curated record.
GUGAAAUAAGAGGAUCACAUCCAACAUUUGCCCUGGAAAGAUUCAGAAUUCUUUUUCUCUUGACAGUAGAGGGAGAGUUUUUUCUUUAUUUCUUUUUAAUUUUUUUUCACUUUUGGUCCACCAGGGAUAUCUCAGAUUCAGAAUAAAGUAUUGAUAUUCCACAAAAGACGAGUAAAAAGGACUAAUGCUCAAGCUCUUGGUUGCAAAUGUUGUGCGGAAAGAUUUCCCAGAGUGCCAAGAAGAGGAAUUUUUUUUUCUUUUCAGCAAAAAGUGCAGAAACCUUGGUUAACUUGCAGAAAUAAAAGGGAAAUGGGGACCCACCUGUCACUCAAAAAGAAUUGCAGAGAAAUCAGGGAUCUAUCACCAAGACUGGUUUUAAAUAACUCACCGUGCUCCAUUUUGCUUGGAUACAUUCACCUGAAAGUAGAAGCCACAGCAGGUCUUUCGUGAAAGUCAGACAAGGAUCGCGCUCUGCUCAGCCCUGUUGAGGCAUCCGAAGGUCCUGGCACAGAGCCAGGGAUGGCAAAUGUCGUGGGGACAUUGCCGAAACGCACUCAGGCCCCAGUAGCACCUUCAGUCUUCCUGCUCGUUGAAGUCCGCCUUUCUUUUAAUCUGAUACAAGUGGCAGAAGCCACUGCUGUUCUCAGAGCCACACUUGUUCAGAUCCUGGGGUGAGAGGAAGAUCAUUGCCUAUGUUAAGGCUGAGUGAAGUGGGAUGAAAUUAUCUGGAUUUUGAAAGCUGGCAGAGCUUCAUCCUCAGCGAGGGCCCUAGAGCAGCCGCCGGAUCCUUCCAUCUGUGAAUGGCAAUUCCCAGCAGCUCCGUCCCCAAACCACUGCUUUUGGCUGCCCUCCUAAUUGAUAACGUGAAGCUUCCCCUGCUUAAAGAAAUCUGUGUUCAUCGCUUGGAAAGGAGAACAAGGCAGAGCUAGGGGAACAUCUCUCAGUGUAAUCGAAUGCUUUGGAUUUCAUGUCCCCACUUUAGAACUCGGAUUACAGGGUCCUAGGCAUAGAGAGGAUUUCUGAUUCACGGCUCCUCACUUGAUUAUAAACCCCAGCGUAAAGUCUCACCUACCUGAGAUGGGACCUGUGCACAAGCCCCAGCUGUGCCGUUUGUUCUAGAACCUCCCAUGAUAGAGGCAUGUUGACUUUCUUCUUGAUAUUCUAAGACCCUGACCAUGGAGGAGCUGCCUGAAGCUGCCCUCUCAGGGAACACAUCUACUUCUCCCCAGUACCUCACACUGGGCGCACAGCAGGGGACCCAGCUUUCUCCCCAGUUUGCUACUGUCCCCGAGGUCGAGGAGCCUGGAGCAAGACGGCCCGCUCUUCCUUUGCCACAUGUGGUGUGUGGAAGAUGGUGGCACUCUUCACACCACUGGGCCUUACUAAUGACCAAGUUGAGGAGCGGGGGUGAUGCCAACUAUCCUUCAUAAUAAUUUUUUUAACUGAGCAAUGUCUAGUAUAAGGCAUUAAAGGUGGACGUGAGGCACAGUAGCCCGUACAAAAGUAGCCAUCAAUAUUAAGAUAUUGAUAUUCAAUUUCAGAAAAGGAGAUCUAGAAAGCCGAAUUCAAGUUGGCCAUGCAGCAAUUGAAGAAAAGCAGGGAGGUUCUGGAGCUGGGCCUGGCUCGUCUUUAUUCAAAUAUCCAGCAGGUAUUCACUGGACACCACUAUGUGUACUGUGAGAAGCUGGAGACAUAAAGGUUAAAAAGACAUAAAGAUUGAAGAAGCCCAUGAACAAGAUGCUCAGAGAUUGCUAAGUGACUCGUGGCCUGUCAACUCACGCAUGCCUCCAUCAGACUCAGUUGGCCUGCCUCAACUUUUCUUUGCCAUGGAGCCUCCUAGAAGCUUGCUGUCAUUCACUCUCAAAAUAUCUGGGGGCCCAGAUCACUAACUGCCCAAGGUUACAGAGGGACCUGUCGAGGUAAUGGGAGGCAAAGUGACUUGUGCGAUCGCUGCAUGCAUGGGUGGGUGCUAGAGCAGGACUGGUGCCCCCAGCCAGCUCACAAGUCAGUAUUUUUGUUGGGUUUGUCUGCCAUCCUUGUGCUCACCUGGAGCUCCCUUCUAGCCUGCCAGGCUCCUUCCA